AUUGAACGCUGGCGGCGUGCUUAACACAUGCAAGUCGAACGCGAAAGGGACUUCGGUCCUGAGUAAAGUGGCGCACGGGUGAGUAACGCGUGGAUAAUCUGCCCUUAUGAUUGGAAUAACAGUUGGAAACGGCUGCUAAUACCGGAUACGCUCAAAAUGCACUUUUUGAGGAAAGAUGGCCUCUGCUUGCAUGCUAUCGCAUAAGGAUGAGUCCGCGGCCCAUUAGGUUGUUGGCGGGGUAACGGCCCACCAAGGCAACGAUGGGUAGCCGAUUUGAGAGGAUGAUCGGCCACACUGGAACUGAAACACGGUCCAGACUCCUACGGGAGGCAGCAGUGGGGAAUAUUGCGCAAUGGGCGAAAGCCUGACGCAGCGACGCCGCGUGAGGGAUGAAGGUUUUCGGAUCGUAAACCUCUGUCAGAAGGGAAGAAACUACGUUGUGCUAAUCAGCAGCGUACUGACGGUACCUUCAAAGGAAGCACCGGCUAACUCCGUGCCAGCCGCCGCCGUAA
This 512-nucleotide ribosomal RNA is filed under the name uncultured bacterium. Its description in RNAcentral is "partial 16S ribosomal RNA". It matches the Rfam family "Bacterial small subunit ribosomal RNA", at positions 30 to 523 of the family's 1533-position model. The record is from RNAcentral.